ACCUGUGUGGCAUAGGGGUUUGAGUAUUGGACUAUGACUCUGGAGAUGAGGGUUCAAUUUCCUGCUCAGCAA
RNAcentral lists this transfer RNA (72 nucleotides) under Phrynosoma platyrhinos (Desert horned lizard). RNAcentral describes it as "tRNA-OTHER". The record is from RNAcentral. Lineage: Eukaryota; Metazoa; Chordata; Lepidosauria; Squamata; Phrynosomatidae.